Neofelis nebulosa (Clouded leopard) is the source of this 1351-nucleotide long non-coding RNA. RefSeq lists it as uncharacterized. Lineage: Eukaryota; Metazoa; Chordata; Mammalia; Carnivora; Felidae. The transcript is spliced from 5 exons. The record is from RefSeq and is a predicted model, not a curated record.
GAGAGAGAGGGAGACACAGAAUCGGAAGCAGGCUCCAGGCUCCGAGCUGGCGGCACAGAGCGUGAUGUGGGGCUUGAACCCACAUCAUGACCCGAGCCAAAGUCUCAGCUGAACCACCGACUGAACCACCCAGGUGCCCUGAAUGUCAUUCUAAUGUUAACAAAUAUUCAUAAAGUGGCUUUCCAUGUGUGUUCCCCUCACAGCCCUGGUGAUCUAUAACUAUGCUGUGACAUUGUGACAAGCUGGCUAAUGUGACCGUCAGUGCUCUCCCAGCUCUUGGGGGGAGUUGGAUUUGGGCACCUGAAUGUCUUUUUUGCUUCACGGAGGAUUACCUUGUCAGAAAGAGGUGGCUAGACCUCCAGGACCUGGUAACCAUAGCAACUAUGCACGCCUGACCUUGUGGGUUCUUUAAGACACCUCCCCAGACCUUUCCCAGACGGAUCUUUUCAAGCUUUCCCCAAACUGUUAGUGGCAUUCUUAGACGGGCUUAGCCCUAACAUGCAGGGCACUUCAGGAGUAUUGACCUGACUGCCUUUUCCAGGUACCUAAACAACACUCCAUGGGGAACAGGAGGAGCUGGAAAAAUUGGGAAAGCGAGAAGAACAACACGAGCAGAAUCUCGCCAAGGAAAUAAAGCACCUGCUUUUGAUCACUAAGAACAGAAGAUAAAAUGCUCACAUUCGAGAAUGCAAUCAACUCACUAUGUUUCUGUGUCGGAUGUUCUCAGAACACACAGACCCGACUACGGCAUGAUGCCCUAGGAAGUGGGCUCUGUAGUGCUUCAGGAUAAUGCGUCGGCCUAAGCAGACAAAUUUUCUUCAGACAGUGCUUAUGGGGCACACCUUUCCUGCGAGGAAGAAACUGAGGACCAGAAAGUUGCAUAACUUGUUCAAGGUCUCCCUUGAGAGAACAGAGGACUUGGGAGCUGAGCCAAGGAACGUCUGGCCGGCAUGAGCUUAUUGUGUCUGGGGCCAGCUGAGCUGAACGUGGGCUCCUUUGUGGCUUCUCCAUCGCUGGCCAGCAGGCUGGCCUUCUGUUUCUCCUCCGGAAACCUUGCACACUCCUUUGAUUCAUGGUGUUAAUGGAAAACCUGUAGCUGGUGGUCCGUACAUCUGCUAGAGAAACAUUUUUCACAGAGCUCACCUCAUCUGGGGACCAUGUGUCCAGGAGAGUUACCGGUUUUUGGCAAAGGGCACAUCCAGACCCAUGUGCCAGCGUUACCCUCUGGGACAUCUGGUUACCAACUAAUGACAGGCAGCCAGGUAUCCUUUCCUCCAGUCGUACAUGCAGUCUUUUCUUCACCUUUGCAACCUCAUUAUGGCUAAAGCAGACAUUUAUCACCCCUGGGAAG